AUUGAACGCUGGCGGCAUGCUUUACACAUGCAAGUCGAACGGCAGCGCGGGCUUCGGCCUGGCGGCGAGUGGCGAACGGGUGAGUAAUGCAUCGGAACGUGCCCAGUAGUGGGGGAUAGCCCGGCGAAAGCCGGAUUAAUACCGCAUACGACCUGAGGGUGAAAGCGGGGGACCGAAAGGCCUCGCGCUAUUGGAGCGGCCGAUGUCGGAUUAGCUAGUUGGUGGGGUAAAGGCUUACCAAGGCGACGAUCCGUAGCUGGUCUGAGAGGUCGACCAGCCACACUGGGACUGAGACACGGCCCAGACUCCUACGGGAGGCAGCAGUGGGGAAUUUUGGACAAUGGGGGCAACCCUGAUCCAGCCAUGCCGCGUGCGAGAAGAAGGCCUUCGGGUUGUAAACCGCUUUUGUUCGGGAAGAAAUCCUCUGGGCUAAUACCCCGGGGGGAUGACGGUACCGGAAGAAUAAGCACCGGCUAACUACGUG
This 484-nucleotide ribosomal RNA is filed under the name uncultured bacterium. RNAcentral's name for it is "partial 16S ribosomal RNA". It matches the Rfam family "Bacterial small subunit ribosomal RNA", at positions 28 to 507 of the family's 1533-position model. The record is from RNAcentral.